RNAcentral lists this ribosomal RNA (502 nucleotides) under Pterospora andromedea. Its description in RNAcentral is "eukaryotic LSU rRNA". It matches the Rfam family "Eukaryotic large subunit ribosomal RNA", at positions 324 to 824 of the family's 3401-position model. Lineage: Eukaryota; Viridiplantae; Streptophyta; Magnoliopsida; Ericales; Ericaceae. The record is from RNAcentral.
GGGCGAGAGACCGAUAGCAAACAAGUACCGCGAGGAAAGAUGAAAAGGNCUUUGAAAAGAGAGUCAAAAAGUGCUUGAAAUUGUCGGGAGGGAAGCGAAUGGGGGUCGGCGAUGUGCCUCGGUCGGAUGUGGAACGGUUAUAGCCGGUCUGCCAAUUGACUCGGGGUGUGGAUCGGUGCGGAUUGGGACGGAGGCCAAAGCCCAGGAAGUCGUUAAANCCUGUGGAGACGCCUUCGCCCCAAUUGUGGCUGGCAGCGUGCGUCUUUAUGGCGUGCUUCGGCAUCUGUGCGCUCCCGGCACCGAUCAGUGGGCUCUCCAUUCGGCCCGUCUUGAAACACGGACCAAGGAGUCUGACAUGUGUGCGAGUCAACGGGUGAGUAAACUCGUAAGGCGUAAGGAAGCUGAUUGGUGGGAUCCCCUAGUGGGUUGCACCACCGACCGACCGACCUUGAUCAUUUGAGAAGGGUUCGAGUGUGAGCAUGCCUGUCGGGACCCGAAAGAU